GUGGGCGGGCGGGGGAAGGAAGGAAGGAAGGGCCGAGGGGCCGGUCGGGGGAGCUGCGGCCGCGCCUGUGCGCCUCCGAGGGCGGCCGGGAUGGAUCACCACCAGCCCGCCAGCCGAUACCGAGUGCUUCACAAUGAGGAUGACCCCCCAGAGUCUUCAGGAGCUGAGCAGCCUUCCACAUCUACAGAGACUACGCAGACUCCCCAGACGGCAGCCUUACCUGAAGCAGAUACUUCCCCUCCACCUUACUGUAGCAUAGCUGUAGAACCAGCUGCGACCUCAGAAACACACAAUGAAUUUUAUCCUGUACCACCUCCAUACAGUGUAGCUACCUCUCUUCCUACUUACGAUGAAGCAGAGAAGGCCAAAGCUGCAGCAAUGGCAGCUGCUGCAGCAGAAGUUGCCCAACGACACGUCCAGUUUAGGGAGUCUAGGAGUCUGUUUGAUGAAAUAUUCCUCAGUCGUCCAGAGGAAGAAGAGUAUCCACCACGGGAUGAUUUCAGUGAUGCAGAUCAGCUUAGAGUGGGCAAUGAUGGCAUCUUCAUGUUGGCAUUUUUCAUGGCAUUUAUUUUCAACUGGAUUGGAUUUUGUUUAUCCUUCUGUAUAACAAAUACUAUAGCUGGAAGGUAUGGUGCAAUCUGUGGAUUUGGUCUGUCCCUGAUCAAGUGGAUUCUCAUUGUACGGUUUUCAGAUUAUUUUACUGGAUAUUUCAAUGGACAGUACUGGCUUUGGUGGAUAUUUCUUGUACUUGGACUCCUCCUGUUCUUUCGAGGCUUUGUUAAUUAUCUUAAAGUCAGAAAUAUGUCUGAAAGCAUGGCAGCUGCUCACAGAACAAGAUUUUUUUUCUUGUACUGAAGAUUGGUCACAGGAUCAAUAUGAAGUAACCAGCAAGACAUUGAAGCCUGAAAAAAACUGAGACGACUGCAUGGAACAGACAUUCCUUUCCUAUACCAGUGUGCAACUUCCAGCUGAUCUGUAACCCUCCGAGUUAAUAGGAUAGAAGACUACUAAAACAAGACGACAAAUUAGUGAAGAUACGGCUUCAAAAACGAAUGGCAGGAUGGUUUAUGCUCUAAUACCAGUGCUGGUCAUCCUAGUAAAUAUUUAUAAUUGCUGCCUUUUGUUUUAGCACAUUUGUAUAUGUGCUUAUUGAAAAGAUAGUAUUGAAGUACAAACAAACCAUCUGUUAGUAUAGAUUAGGUACAGUCAGACUGGGUUAAUCUGUGCUUGUUGUAUCUGAAAGACUUAAGUGGUAACUUGUUUCACAGCACGUAUGUACCACUGACUUGUUGAUCUGAACUUUGAGUACAAUGAAAUGCAUUAAAUGAUUCAGAUUAACCAGUUCAGACAGGGUUUUUUUAUAUAAUUUAGAUUCAUUUAAUGAUUGUGUAGAACAUUAAGUUUACUAAACCCCAAAGUUCCUUGUUGUCAUGAACUUGUAUUCACCAAUAUUUUAUCAAAUUCAAACCAAUAUACUGGUUUGCUUAAAACUGAUACUCCACUUUGAGUCCCCUGUAAAUAACUCUGCAUAAAUGACUGUUUGAAUUGCUUCUUAGGAAAUAUGUCAAAAUAUAUUUUGUAACAGCAUAUUCUCUAAAUUUUGUUUAAUCUUAGAGCUACAUACAUAUUUUUUGUUAAUUGGCUAUUAAGGGUAUAGUUACUAUUAGGUGUAAUUUUGGAGGUAAAGGCAGUGAAUUAUUUGUCUCAUCUUAACUUUCCUCACAUGAAUUAUUAUUAACUGGUUUGGGCUUGAGCCUGAAAGUCGUUAUUCAUAUGCAUGACCCCUUUAAAAGAUAGAGUUUGUUCAUGUUAGCAGGGAUGGACAGCCUUACAUCUUUAGUCCUUGGUUAUGCAGUUGGAUCCUCGUAGGUGCACUUCUGUUCCUGAAACAAGAGUAUUGCAAAUGUAUUCCCUGGGUUAUAACACUGUCUCUGUUUAAGAAGUCUUGAGUUCAGUAUAAAUAAAACAUCCACCCUAAGGGCUUCUCAAAAAAAAUUCAUAUAGCUGUCUUACAACGCUUGUUUAGAAUAAGUACUUUGCCACUUCCUAAGAAUAAACUAAUGUAAUUGUAAGGUAAUCUUGGAAAUAAUCUAUGAAGGAAAAAAAAAAAAUCUUUUAAAGCUCUGAAAGUAGAAAAUGUGUGUUGCACCUCUCCCACUAUUCGUUUAAGGUAUGCCAUUACUUUCUUAAAAAUACCAUCUCUUUAAAGGGUACUGUCUACUGUUCAUGCAUGUGUGGUUUCCUUUAAAGUUUGAAAUUUAUGCUUCUCCUUAAGUAGGAGAAUACAUCUCGCAGUCCUUUGUAGAACUGGAAUCUCAGUUUCAAAAAUACAUUGGUUGUUGGUUGCACCUUUGAGGAAAAAAAAUACAAAUACUUUCCUCCAGUUUUUCUUUUUAUAUUAGAAUUCUGCCUUUUUAUUACUAACAUUAAAACCAGUGAGGUUUAUGUUGUUUUAAGCUAGUGCUGUAUUCAGUUUUGUAUCUAUAAUGAAUGUUUAAAAUAGACAUAUGUAAACUGGUCACAUUAUUCAUUUUCUUAAUCUUUCAGAGAUACUGAAAGUGACUAAAAAUUUAGGGGCACCUCCACUUCCCAGCUUUUGAUGGAAAGAAUAAAAUUAAGUAUUAUGUUCAAUAUCUGAUUGGGAUUUCCUUCUAAACUUACCUGUUCGUUUCUGUGUUCUUUUGCAUUCAUUGUCCAUAUGAAAAAGAAGCGGAUAAUAAAACAUUGCUUUGUUUUGCUAGUUAA
RNA transcript from Harpia harpyja (harpy eagle), 2745 nucleotides. It is a transcript of the gene named Nedd4 family interacting protein 2, with no coding region annotated. Lineage: Eukaryota; Metazoa; Chordata; Aves; Accipitriformes; Accipitridae. The record is from RefSeq and is a predicted model, not a curated record. The transcript is spliced from 10 exons.